Molecule: transfer RNA, 77 nt
Filed under: bacterium
Lineage: Bacteria
Also listed under: 1 other name
Description: tRNA-Met
Rfam family: tRNA
About the family: Transfer RNA (tRNA) molecules are approximately 80 nucleotides in length. Their secondary structure includes four short double-helical elements and three loops (D, anti-codon, and T loops).
Source: RNAcentral
GGCUCGGUAGCUCAGCUGGUUAGAGCGUCGGAUUCAUAACCCGGAGGUCGGCGGUUCAAGUCCGCCUCGAGCCACCA